This 427-nucleotide ribosomal RNA is filed under the name uncultured bacterium. Its description in RNAcentral is "partial 16S ribosomal RNA". It matches the Rfam family "Bacterial small subunit ribosomal RNA", at positions 355 to 774 of the family's 1533-position model. The record is from RNAcentral.
UGGGGAAAAUUGCACAAUGGGCGCAAGCCUGAUGCAGCCAUGCCGCGUGUAUGAAGAAGGCCUUCGGGUUGUAAAGUACUUUCAGCGGGGAUGAAGGGAGUAAAGUUAAUACCUUUGCUCAUUGACGUUACCCGCAGAAGAAGCACCGGCUAACUCCGUGCCAGCAGCCGCGGUAAUACGGAGGGUGCAAGCGUUAAUCGGAAUUACUGGGCGUAAAGCGCACGCAGGCGGUUUGUUAAGUCAGAUGUGAAAUCCCCGGGCUCAACCUGGGAACUGCAUCUGAUACUGGCAAGCUUGAGUCUCGUAGAGGGGGGUAGAAUUCCAGGUGUAGCGGUGAAAUGCGUAGAGAUCUGGAGGAAUACCGGUGGCGAAGGCGGCCCCCUGGACGAAGACUGACGCUCAGGUGCGAAAGCGUGGGGAGCAAACA